CCCUUAGAUGUCCUGGGCCGCACGCGUGCUACACUGACGCCUACAGCGAGUACUUCCCAGCCCCGAGAGGUGGCUGGUAAUCAGCAAUAGGCGUCGUGAUGGGGAUAGAUCUUUGGAAUUAUGGAUCUUGAACGAGGAAUGCCUAGUAAGCGCAGGUCAUUAGCCUGCGCUGAUUAAGUCCCUGCCCUUUGUACACACCGCCCGUCGCUCCUACCGAUUUCGAGUGGUCCGGUGAAUCCUUCGGACUGCGCGCGGCCUCGUGCCGUGUCGCGGAAAGUCAGGUAAACCUUAUCACUUAGAGGAAGGAGAAGUCGUAACA
RNAcentral lists this ribosomal RNA (319 nucleotides) under uncultured eukaryote. RNAcentral describes it as "partial 18S ribosomal RNA". It matches the Rfam family "Eukaryotic small subunit ribosomal RNA", at positions 1470 to 1796 of the family's 1831-position model. The record is from RNAcentral.